Ictidomys tridecemlineatus (thirteen-lined ground squirrel) is the source of this 1858-nucleotide non-coding RNA. Lineage: Eukaryota; Metazoa; Chordata; Mammalia; Rodentia; Sciuridae. The record is from RefSeq and is a predicted model, not a curated record.
CCUGGGUCCCCAGGGCGCAGGCGCAGAACGUCUGGGCCGGAAGAUGGGAGGGUGUGUCUGGAGUUCUGGUCGCCGGCUGCUGGAAGCACCUCCCUGGCCGUGUAAUGCCUGAUGCGAGGAGACUGAGAGGACAGGGACGAGUUCCCCGAAGAGGGUGGGCAGGAGUAACGGACACAAAAAUGGAGACUAGAGAACCAGUAACCAUCUUGUGAUAACAUAUCAACUCUACUAUCAGAAGCCAUUUGUCAAGAGACCCAAUAGAAAUAUGGAAAGCCUCUGAGUAUCUAAUGAGCUUCCUACCAGCCCAGGUCACCUAACAAUGUCCUUCUCUCUGAUGGGGAAAAAAUGACCCUACUUCUUGUUUAAUCCAUCAAACUUAUUACAUUACUUUGAGUCUUACUAGCAGCUGAAAGUAAUUCCUCCUAUUACCAGCUGGCCUCAGAGGCUUCACAAGUGCUUCUCCUAGCAGUCCAAGAAGUCAUCAUCCUCAGGGGCAUAGGAAAAUCCCAGGAAUGCACUUGAGGCCCCUGAGCUGCUAGCCAUAGUAUCAGGGGUGCAGCCAAUAGACUUGGAGACUGCUUCUUGGGUGAACUCUGGGUCAAAGUGUUUCAAGUCAGCAGGUCCUGCCUGUCAACAGAAGCCAAUGAUGAGGAGAGGGCAUUGGGAUCAGAGCUGCCAAAGGAACCGAAAGCCCAGGAGAGGGAUGCCAAACCUCCCCUCAGUACCUCUUGGUGAUCCACACUUAACUGUCACUUUCCCAUGCAUCUCCAUUAAUCAUCUUAUUCCACGUGGCUGAUUUCUCUUACCCCAAGGCACCCUGCCUGCUCUACACCAAUCCUCAGACAAGUCUGUCAGUCAACCUAUAUUCACUGAAUGCUUGCCAGGCAUUGUUUAUGACACUGGAAAUAUGGGAGAACAAAAUAGAGUGAGCCUCUGCUUAUAGGAGCUUGCAGUAUGUGGAGGGUAGGAGGAUUGAACAAAGCAUUUAUAUAAGUAGAACGUUCAGGGUCCUAGAUGGAGGAGGUAAAAGAGGGUAAUAUGGUAGAGAGGGACUGGGGCUGCUCUAACUAUUUUGCAGGAAGAGCCAUUUGAGUAAUUGUAAAAAUGAUCACAAAUUCUCCAUUUACCAUCCAGAGGUGGAGGUUCUCUAUCUUUUAAAUAUGGGUUAGCCACGUGACUUGCUCAUGCCAAUGGAACACUGACAAAUGAUUGGAGUGGAGGCUUGAAAAAAUGUGCCUUGGGAAUCAAGGUGAGAGGCUGUAGGAAGGAGAACCCAGGUGCCCUGGCAGCCUGCCAACUCCCAGACACACGAGGCAGUUCUAGAUCAAUUGACUGCUGACCACAGAUAUGAGAGAGCUCUACAGAGAACAACUGGCCUGGCCCAGAUUUAAAAAACACUAGUCAACCCAUGGAAUAUGAACAAGAAAAAAUAUUGUUGUUUAGGACUGGGGGUAUAGCUCAGUGGUAGAGCACUUUCUUGGUAUGUGUGAGGCCCUGGGUUCAAGCUCCAGCACCCCAUAAGAAAAGAUUAUUAUUUGAAGACACCUACUUUGGGAGUGACUUGUUAUGCAGUUAGAACUAACAAAUGCAGUCUUUCUGCAGAGGUGACCCAGUCAGAGGAGAAGAUAACACCCUCUGGAUGUUAUGAAGUAAGCAGGUGAGCAAGUAGAGGGGUCUGUAGAUCUACUUUCACGUGUAAGUCUUGGGCUCUGCAAACAAACAUGCCAUAACUUCCAACUUCUCAAAAAGGUCACAGGCCAUGUGCUGUGGCACAUACCUAUAAUCCCAGCUACUUGGGAGGCUGAGGCAGGGAAUCAAGUUCAAGGGCAGCCUGGGCAAAUUAGCAAGACCCUGUCUC